AGUGAAAGGACUCUGAAGAGGUUAGUUGUGGGGUCAAAGAGAUUGUUAAAAUAAUGGCCUUCUAGGAAUCUUUCCUCCCUGGGUUCUUUUUUGCAGGGUGACUGUCACUACUCUCAUCACCCGACAUCUGUUUCCUAAUCCCUUGAAUCUGGGCUGGCCUGGAAUUGGUGUUGAUCAGAGAAUGCAAUGACAUGAUAUUAGGUGACUUCCAAGGCUAGGACUUAAUAGCCCUUGCAGCUUCUAGUCCUGCCACUCUACCUGAGUGCCACCCAGAAAGGAAGUCUAGGUUAGACCAUGAAGAUAUGUUACACCACGUGGAAACCGAUCCCAGCAGCUAGCUCCAUAGAUGUGAAGGAGGCCAUGUUAGAGCCUCAGCACAGCCAAUCCACAGCACAAGCAGCCCCAGAGGAGAGCAGCAAAACUGCCAAGCUAAACCCAGCUAAUCCACAGAAUUAUAAAAGAGAAUAAUUUUAGGUUACUAAGUUUGGGAAUGAUUUAUUACGAAGUUAAAGUCUCAUAGAAUCACCAGCUAUCAUAAUUAUAGAUUAUUUUAUCUCACAUUAUCUAUUUUCCCUUCUUCCUGUAGUAGGAUUUUCCUUGAAGAACCCCACCCUUAAUUUAUUUGAUCCAGGUGAGGGUGACCUCCACCCUCCUGGCUUUUCCUAGAAGCUUUAAGAAGGCAUUGCUAGGGGCUGGGGUUGUGGCUCAGCGGUAGAGCGAUUGCCUAGCAUGUGUGAGGCACUGGGUUCGAUCCUCAGCACCACAUAAAAAGAAAUAAAAUAAAGAUAUUAUGUCCAUCUACAACUAAAAAAAUUAUUGAAGAAGGAGGAGGAGGAGAAGGCAUUGCUAAAUGAGAAAAUGAGAAGGUCUUGAGCCCAUAGCUGGUAGUGGCUUUCUUUCUCACCUAUUGAGGAACACCUGCCAGAGAAUGGAAUCUUAGGGAAGAAAACAGAAGACAAAAUGAGUCUUGACCCCAUUUUGGGGACCCCAGGAUCCAUCUGUUCCUGAAGCCUGAUCCAUGUCUGGACUUUAAAAUUGCCUAAGUCACCAUGCACAGCAGCGCACAUCUGUAAUACCAGCAUCUCAGGAGACUGAGGCAGGAAGAUCAUGAGUUCAAAGCCAGCCUCAGCAAAUAUAUAUAUAAAAAUGAUGUGACUCUGUGGUUUGGGUUCAACCACCAGUACCAAAAAAUAAAUUAAUAAAUUCACUAUUUUGUGUGAGAUUUUAGUUGGAUAUCUGUUAUUUACAACUGAUGAACAUAUAUUCUGAAGGUCUGAAAGUUUGACUAAGCAGCUCCAGGACUGUUAGGGUAGGACAGAGAAUGGGGUUCCUAGGGAGUAUGGGAAAAUAAAUUAAUUUUUCCUUGGCCUCUACUAUAUAGAAUGAGACACAGUCUAAAUACCUGUCCUGAAUACCUGUUACUCAUUGUGAUUGUGAUAAAGUGUUGUAAGGGAAAAUACCAGGGCAACCAAGAGUGUAUUGUUUCCUUCUUGAAGAAGUGACUUUUCCCCCCUGUGUAGGGAUCCAUAUCCAAGGCCUUGAGCGUGCUAGGCACACAUUCUACCAAUGAGCUACACUGCCAGCCCAGAAAGUUUCAUUUACACUGGGGGUGCGACUUCCCAUAGUCCCUAUCUUCCCCUCUAGUAUUGGCCUUGAUAUACGUGAUAUGGGCUGGGGUAGUGGCUCAGUUGUAGAUCACUUGCCUGGCAUGUGUGAG
RNAcentral lists this long non-coding RNA (1717 nucleotides) under Marmota monax (woodchuck). The record is from RNAcentral. Lineage: Eukaryota; Metazoa; Chordata; Mammalia; Rodentia; Sciuridae.